UGUUCUUCGUCUGCAGUGCUUCUCUGAGGCUGUCCGCUUUUUGUUUUUGUCCCAGAGUGGUCCCUUUACUGACUGUGUGUGGUUCUAGCUGCUGCCAAACCUCCACUUGUUGAUAGCUUACCGCAGUGUUACUGAAGUGAAUAUUGUGUGUACAGUAAUGUCCCACGAGCUGCAGCUGGCACUGACUAUGUUCACAUGCAGGCUGUAAGUGAAUGAACUGCCUAAUCAGAGCCAAAAUACAACUGUAAAAUGGUUGAUUUUUUUUAAGAAAUUGAUCUUUGGAUGAACUUUGCCUAUGCUUGUGAAAAACUGGACCAAAUUUCAACAUUAAUAUGUGGAUCUGAAUCUUACUAAUCACAGCAUAAAGUUAUUUUUUUUGUAUACUGUAAAAGCUUGCAUGUCAACUCCAUUGCUAGUUUUAAUAAGGGCCAGUAAACUAGCGGUUAAUGUCCUCUGGUAGUGUGCUCAUUUUCGUAUGAAAGUGAACAUGUUUUGGGUCUUAAUUUCCAUUCAUUCGGUCACUGAAUAAUGCUGUUUAUCUGCUUUUAAUAAGGGAAUGUUCCACCAUUUUGUUUUUCCGUGUCUGCACAUUGUCCUAAAAUAUAAACAGUCCUUGUCAGGAUGGAGAUGAGAUGCAUGUGGGGAAACGCAUGCAGUGGCCUGCUAGUAGUUGAAGCGUAUUAGCACAACAAUCUUCUUGACUCUGAUGUGUUGGACUGCGGCCAAUUUCAUGUGAUCAUUUUACCAAACCGAAAGGGACAUGAUGAUAUUUGCUUUGAACUGUUCUAUGAAUAACAUCAAUCUAGGUAGUAUGCGACUUGCACAUGUGAUGUGUGUUUCUAAGCACUUAUUAUCCACAGAAAGGAGAAAUUCCAGAUUUAUGCAAGAAGAGAAAUUGAUUUCUGGGUCUGUCAAAUCAACAAUAAUAUUAAAAGCUUCUUCCUGUCUAGCGCACAGUCAAUAGUUGCAGACAGCGGAGGGCAACUCACUUCUUCUGAAUGUCUCCAUACUGCUCGAGUACAAUGUCUGUUUUUUUUUUAUACACAUUAAAUAUUUUAUUUUCCAUACAUGGUCUUUUCUGUGUCCAUUUGAAACAAUUUACAAUAAACACUUUGCCAACGUGUCUCCUCUGUGUGGAGUAUCUGUGCUUCCAUUGAAAAGCCAAAUAUCAAGAAUUGACUCCAGGAUAUUUGAGGUUUUUUUAAUUUAAUAUUUCAUGUGAGAGGCUUUAUUAAAGCCUCAGUGUGAUACUCAGCUGUACAAUGAUGUAGUUAAUUGUUAAAAUUAUCUCUUGAGUGCUUACAUAAAGCUGAUUUUAAAAAAAACAACAACCUUUAUCCAGUAUAACGGUUUACAUUUGUUACAAAGAACAAAGCACAGAAUGAAAGAGAUCUGGAAACAAUCAAAGAUCUACCCAAAAGUCU
RNAcentral lists this long non-coding RNA (1424 nucleotides) under Dicentrarchus labrax (European seabass). RNAcentral describes it as "lncRNA (ENSDLAG00005031314.1)". The record is from RNAcentral. Lineage: Eukaryota; Metazoa; Chordata; Actinopteri; Moronidae.